Molecule: ribosomal RNA, 483 nt
Filed under: uncultured bacterium
Lineage: Bacteria
Description: partial 16S ribosomal RNA
Rfam family: Bacterial small subunit ribosomal RNA
Source: RNAcentral
AUUGAACGCUGGCGGCAUGCUUUACACAUGCAAGUCGAACGGCAGCGCGGGCUUCGGCCUGGCGGCGAGUGGCGAACGGGUGAGUAAUGCAUCGGAACGUGCCCAGUAGUGGGGGAUAGCCCGGCGAAAGCCGGAUUAAUACCGCAUACGACCUGAGGGUGAAAGCGGGGACCGAAAGGCCUCGCGCUAUUGGAGCGGCCGAUGUCGGAUUAGCUAGUUGGUGGGGUAAAGGCUUGCCAAGGCGACGAUCCGUAGCUGGUCUGAGAGGACGACCAGCCACACUGGGACUGAGACACGGCCCAGACUCCUACGGGAGGCAGCAGUGGGGAAUUUUGGACAAUGGGGGCAACCCUGAUCCAGCCAUGCCGCGUGCGGGAAGAAGGCCUUCGGGUUGUAAACCGCUUUUGUUCGGGAAGAAAUCCUCUGGGCUAAUACCCCGGGGGGAUGACGGUACCGGAAGAAUAAGCACCGGCUAACUACGUG